This 253-nucleotide ribosomal RNA is filed under the name uncultured bacterium. RNAcentral describes it as "partial 16S ribosomal RNA". It matches the Rfam family "Bacterial small subunit ribosomal RNA", at positions 524 to 776 of the family's 1533-position model. The record is from RNAcentral.
UACGUAGGGGGCAAGCGUUGUCCGGAUUUAUUGGGCGUAAAGAGCUCGUGGGCGGCUCGUUGCGUCGGCUGUGAAAACCCGCAGCUCAACUGUGGGCUUGCAGCUGAUACGGGCGGGCUGGGAUUCGGUAGGGGAGACUGGAAUUCCUGGUGUAGCGGUGAAAUGCGCAGAUAUCAGGAGGAACACCGGUGGCGAAGGCGGGUCUCUGGGCCGAUAUCGACGCUGAGGAGCGAAAGCGUGGGGAGCGAACAGG